ACAAUUGUUUAACUGAAGUCAAUAAAGCAUGAAAUAUUUGCUUAUAAAUUGAUAAACUUUUUUAUUCAUUACGUGAAAAGGAGGACUAAUAUGGCUGGAAUCCCAUGUUAUUUUUAUGGUUCGAUCAUUUUUCUUUCCCUAUUUCUUCUUGCAGCCUUUUUCGAGAAGGGAUACAUGAUUCCCUGCGCUACCAGCGAUGAUUGUUUAAAAAAUAUGUGUCGCCCUCCUCUAACUCCACGGUGCAUUGAACAUAAUUGCAAAUGCAAGUAAGAAAAAGAAUUCGUAUGUAACUUUCAUGCAUGUAAUUAUAUUUGUAAGUCAUAAUGUUCUUUUUUUAAAGAUGUAAGUCAUAAUGUUGGUACUACUAUAAUUUCCCUCACAUCUUUUAUUUAUGCUUGUUUGAAUUUUCAACUUAUUUAAGAAUAUCAAAAGUUAUUGGUAUAAGCUAUAGAGGUCAAUAGUUUAUAUUAAACUUGUCAUAUGUAUCAUGACUUUUAAUAUUAAAUAAAAUAAUGUAUUCUUUAUCA
Long non-coding RNA from Medicago truncatula (barrel medic), 527 nucleotides. RefSeq lists it as uncharacterized. The transcript has 2 exons. NCBI's taxonomy places the organism in Eukaryota, Viridiplantae, Streptophyta, Magnoliopsida, Fabales, Fabaceae. The record is from RefSeq and is a predicted model, not a curated record.